Molecule: ribosomal RNA, 497 nt
Filed under: uncultured bacterium
Lineage: Bacteria
Description: partial 16S ribosomal RNA
Rfam family: Bacterial small subunit ribosomal RNA
Source: RNAcentral
GAUGAACGCUGGCGGCGUGCCUAAUACAUGCAAGUCGAGCGAACAGACGAGGAGCUUGCUCCUCUGACGUUAGCGGCGGACGGGUGAGUAACACGUGGAUAACCUACCUAUAAGACUGGGAUAACUUCGGGAAACCGGAGCUAAUACCGGAUAAUAUAUUGAACCGCAUGGUUCAAUAGUGAAAGACGGUUUUGCUGUCACUUAUAGAUGGAUCCGCGCCGCAUUAGCUAGUUGGUAAGGUGACGGCUUACCAAGGCGACGAUGCGUAGCCGACCUGAGAGGGUGAUCGGCCACACUGGAACUGAGACACGGUCCAGACUCCUACGGGAGGCAGCAGUAGGGAAUCUUCCGCAAAGGGCGAAAGCCUGACGGAGCAACGCCGCGUGAGUGAUGAAGGUCUUCGGAUCGUAAAACUCUGUUAUUAGGGAAGAACAAAUGUGUAAGUAACUAUGCACGUCUUGACGGUACCUAAUCAGAAAGCCACGGCUAACUACGUG